RNAcentral lists this unclassified non-coding RNA (253 nucleotides) under uncultured Gemmatimonadaceae bacterium. Its description in RNAcentral is "contains 16S-23S intergenic spacer region". It matches the Rfam family "Bacterial small subunit ribosomal RNA", at positions 524 to 776 of the family's 1533-position model. The record is from RNAcentral. Lineage: Bacteria; Pseudomonadati; Gemmatimonadota; Gemmatimonadia; Gemmatimonadales; Gemmatimonadaceae.
UACGGAGGGUGCGAGCGUUGUCCGGAAUCACUGGGCGUAAAGGGCGCGUAGGCGGCGUCGUAAGCGUGGGGUGAAAGUCCGGGGCUCAACCCCGGAUCGGCCUUGCGAACUGCGGCGCUCGAGCACUGUAGAGGCGGGUGGAAUUCCGGGUGUAGCGGUGGAAUGCGUAGAGAUCCGGAAGAACACCGGUGGCGAAGGCGGCCCGCUGGGCAGUGGCUGACGCUGAGGCGCGACAGCGUGGGGAGCAAACAGG